RNAcentral lists this transfer RNA (36 nucleotides) under Zooxanthella nutricula. Its description in RNAcentral is "Brandtodinium nutricula partial Selenocysteine transfer RNA". Lineage: Eukaryota; Dinophyceae; Peridiniales. The record is from RNAcentral.
GGGUCGGUGGCGUGCCCGGCGGGUUCGAUUCCGAUC